This 253-nucleotide ribosomal RNA is filed under the name uncultured bacterium. RNAcentral describes it as "partial 16S ribosomal RNA". It matches the Rfam family "Bacterial small subunit ribosomal RNA", at positions 524 to 776 of the family's 1533-position model. The record is from RNAcentral.
UACGGGGGGGGCAAGCGUUGUUCGGAAUUACUGGGCGUAAAGGGCUCGUAGGCGGCCAACUAAGUCAGACGUGAAAUCCCUCGGCUUAACCGGGGAACUGCGUCUGAUACUGGAUGGCUAGAGGUUGGGAGAGGGAUGCGGAAUUCCAGGUGUAGCGGUGAAAUGCGUAGAUAUCUGGAGGAACACCGGUGGCGAAGGCGGCAUCCUGGACCGACACUGACGCUGAGGAGCGAAAGCCAGGGGAGCAAACGGG